AGGAGGAAGCACCAUGCAUCGAAGAUGCAUUUAAAAAUGGUGCUGACGAAAUGCCGCCGAACGGAUGUGAGGGGGGCAAUACAAAAA
Molecule: non-coding RNA, 87 nt
Submitted as: unclassified sequences
Source: Rfam